This 496-nucleotide ribosomal RNA is filed under the name uncultured bacterium. RNAcentral describes it as "partial 16S ribosomal RNA". It matches the Rfam family "Bacterial small subunit ribosomal RNA", at positions 28 to 506 of the family's 1533-position model. The record is from RNAcentral.
GAUGAACGCUGGCGGCGUGCCUAAUACAUGCAAGUCGAGCGAACAGACGAGGAGCUUGCUCCUCUGACGUUAGCGGCGGACGGGUGAGUAACACGUGGAUAACCUACCUAUAAGACUGGGAUAACUUCGGGAAACCGGAGCUAAUACCGGAUAAUAUAUUGAACCGCAUGGUUCAAUAGUGAAAGACGGUUUUGCUGUCUCUUAUAGAUGGAUCCGCGCCGCAUUAGCUAGUUGGUAAGGUAACGGCUUACCAAGGCAACGAUGCGUAGCCGACCUUAGAGGGGGAUCGGCCAAACUGGAACGGAGAAACGGACCAGACACCAACGGGAGGCAGAAGUAGGGAAUCUUCCGAAAGGGGGGAAAGCCUGACGGAGAAACGCGGCGUGAGUGAUGAAGGUAUUCGGAUGGUAAAACUCUGUUAUUAGGGAAGAAAAAAUGUGUAAGUAACUAUGAAAGUCUUGACGGAACCAAAUCAGAAAGCAACGGCUAACUACGU